This 1842-nucleotide unclassified non-coding RNA is filed under the name uncultured fungus. RNAcentral describes it as "sequence contains 18S rRNA gene, ITS1, 5.8S rRNA gene, ITS2, 28S rRNA gene". The stretch from base 735 to 1842 matches the Rfam family "Eukaryotic large subunit ribosomal RNA", at positions 1 to 961 of the family's 3401-position model. Lineage: Eukaryota; Fungi. The record is from RNAcentral.
UGCUGGAUCAUUACCUUGUCGGUACGACAAACUUUUGUGCUGUAGGGAGCCACCACACCAAAGGCUGUCAUGACUCGACGGCUGGCGACUACCCAGAGACAGUCUACGUGCGUCCACCUCGAUGGACCCGAACGGUGAGAGUAGCGCUCUGUUACGGGCUCCGCCAGUCUGCACGUAGGCGAAAACGGCUUCGCUGGAUCCUAUGCAAUGCUGAGCAGUUGUAGUCAAGAAUGCCCGUGGCUGCCGUGAGGUGUUGCGAUAGUCCCAUGUCCCACCAUGGCGGUGGGGUAGCAUGAAGGGUAGGAUUAAUGAGUACUGGAAUCAGUGCCGCCAGCAAAAACCCUUUUUUUCAAUUUUUUUUCAAACAAAAUAAAAGUUAUUAUUAGUCUUGCCGGUGGAUCACUCGGCUCGUAGGUCGAUGAAGAUCGCAGCCAAAUGCGAUAGCUAGUGCGAACUGCAGAUAUACUGAGCACUAAAUUGUCGAAUGCACAUUGCGCCUUGGGAUUUACACCCCUUGGCACGCCUGGUUCAGGGUCAUCUCUCCCACAGAAAGCAGAAUGCGCUUUCAAACACCACUCCGACACUGUCUUGACAAAAGGCCGUAAAUGAAGUGACAGAGUCGAGUGUUGUGUUCAAUUGCUUGUCCAGCUGGAUUCCUGGGGCAGUUGCCGGUCGUCCAAACGUAUUCUUUUGACUGGCGUUGCUCUCGGGGACUGCUGGGACACUCGAUUAUCUGACCUGAACUCAGACGUGACUACCCGCUGAACUUAAGCAUAUCAGUAAGCGGAGGAAAAGAAACUAACAAGGAUUCCCCCAGUAACGGCGAGUGAACAGGGACCAGUCCAGCGCUGAAUCUCGACGUCUCGGCGUCGCGACGUGUAGCGUAUAGGCGGUGUUCUUUGCCGUGGUCGAAGGCACAAGUUUUCCAUGACCGGGGCGCCAUAGAAGGUGAUAGACCUGUAACGCCUGAGGCCUAGGUGGACCACACUGUCUUGGAGUCGGGUUGUUUGGGAUCGCAACCCAAAGAAGGUGGUAAACUUCAUCUAAGACUAAAUAUCCCUACGAGACCGAUAGCGAACAAGUACCGUGAGGGAAAGUUGCAAAGCACUUUGAAGAGAGAGUUAAAGAGGACGUGAAACCGGUAGGAUGGAAACGGAUAGAGCCAGCGAAGUCGCUUGUAUUCAGCCGAAGACCUGGGGCUCCCUGUCGUCGUGUUUUUAAUCGAGCACGGCGGUUUGUGUGCUCCAGGCCGAGGUGCAUUUGCAGGCGUUUGCGCUGAGACUUGCGAGGCAGCUUCUGGACCGGUGCUUAGUGGCUUCCCUCUGGGUUGAACCUAGGCGCCGUUACAGUUGUUUGCCCUGCUCAUACUGGUCUGGCCUACGAACGUGGGCUGUGUUGUUGCCAACUGGCCAAGGUAUCGCAUGCGAUGUCUAGUCUGGGGGUAGCGGCAUGGUCCAUUGUUCCCGGACCGCCUCUCGGUGUAGAAGCUGGUCAUCUCUCCGACCCGUCUUGAAACACGGACCAAGGAGUUUAGCGUAUGCGCGAGUCAUUGGGUGCACAAACCUAGAGACGCAAUGAAAGUAAAGGCUCGGUCGCCGGGCUGACAUGCGAGUGCCGCGGCUUCGGCCCAGGCAUGCAGCAUGGUCCCGUUGCAGCCGCUUGCGGCGCAGCGGAGACAGAGCGUAUGCGCUGAGACCCGAAAGAUGGUGAACUAUUCCUGAGCAGGACGAAGCCAGAGGAAACUCUGGUGGAAGUCCGAAGCGAUUCUGACGUGCAAAUCGAUCGUCUGACUUGGGUAUAGGGGCGAAAGACUAAUCGAACCAUCUAGUAGCUGGUUCCCUC